Talpa occidentalis (Iberian mole) is the source of this 855-nucleotide long non-coding RNA. RefSeq lists it as uncharacterized. The transcript is spliced from 3 exons. Lineage: Eukaryota; Metazoa; Chordata; Mammalia; Eulipotyphla; Talpidae. The record is from RefSeq and is a predicted model, not a curated record.
CAGGGCAGGCCUGCUGGGGACUGAUGGUCCCUGUUCCUGGUCUCCAAGAAAGAAUAUAGACUGUGUUCCAGAUGGCUAAAGAAGAAAGAAGCAGCAUCCAACCGCAGACCUCUUAAUUAAGAAGAGAAGCUAAACAGCAUCGCAGAGAAACCAAAGAGCUUUGUGGCGGCCCGGCCGCCUGCACCUGCCUCUGGCAUUGCCUGAAAGGAGCACGAAAGGCCCCUGGCCUGGUGUCUGGGAGUUGUCUGUUGUUGGGGUGCGCCAGCAACUUGCAAAGAGCUGUAACGCUGGUGUUUCUUACACCGGGACACCUAGUGGCUGUUGCUGACCUGCACUACUGGCCAGUGCUGCCCAGCACCAUUGACGGUGGCCAGCAGUCUGUGUCCGCGUCACCUCUGAGAGCUGUUAACUGCUCCUGACUGUCCACCUCCCGCUGCUGCUGCCUCCUUGCUGUCUGGGCCAUCCGGACCUUGAGACUGUGGCUGUGGGCUGUGGUGGCAUCUCAGCGGCCCCGCCUGCGAGCACCCCCAGCUGCAGUGAGUUGGGGCCCGGCCCCGCUGCUUGCUGGUGAGCCACAAGCCCCAGGCCCUCGCUGACGGGACAGCGCCAUCUUGAAGGAGCCGCCUUUUGUUUGGGAUGUGUGGACACUGUGGACGCUCUCUGGGUUCAUAGGACACUUAAAGAAUGGCACAGAAUCUAAUAAAAAGCCCACUUGCAAGUGGAGGACGCCAUGUGGAAGACACAACGGAGGCUGACUUGCAGACCCAGCACAAAGGUGGGACGGAAAGAGCUAUUGAGGCUGCCUGGAGAAACACAGGUGAACUGAUAUGUUUACUACAGCAGAGAAGAAACUCC